UAAAUAUCACCACGAGACCGAUAGCGAACAAGUACCGUGAGGAAAAGUUGAAAAGAACUUUGAAGAGAGAGUUCAAUAGUACGUGAAACCGUCCCGGGGGAAACCCGAGAAGCCCGAAAGUUCGAUGGGGGAGAUUCAACCGCGUCUCGGAGGACGCGGACAGCGGCCGGCGCGGGCGACGGAAGGUCCCUCGGGACCCGACGCCGCCCGUCGUCCCGUCCAGUUUCCCGAACGCGUGCACUUUCUCCCCCCGUAGGACGUCGCGACCCGUCGGUGGCGGGUCCUGAAGGGCCGCGGUGGAACCCCGGGGGGAACGAAUUUCGGUUCGUUUCUCGUCGGAACCCGCGUGUUCCCGACCCGCCCGCCCCAACGGUAGACUAGAGGCGGGGGGGCCGGCGACCUUUUCAGGUACGCGUC
Molecule: ribosomal RNA, 417 nt
Filed under: Prostephanus truncatus
Lineage: Eukaryota; Metazoa; Arthropoda; Insecta; Coleoptera; Bostrichidae
Description: partial large subunit ribosomal RNA
Rfam family: Eukaryotic large subunit ribosomal RNA
Source: RNAcentral